GUGCUUGUUUCAGUAGCACAUAUACUAAAACUAGAAUGAUAAAGAGAAGAUUCGCAUGUCCCCUGUGCAAGGAUGAUACACAAAUUCAUGAAGCAUUCCAUAUUUUU
Molecule: small nuclear RNA, 107 nt
Organism: Dromiciops gliroides (monito del monte)
Lineage: Eukaryota; Metazoa; Chordata; Mammalia; Microbiotheria; Microbiotheriidae
Source: RefSeq, a predicted model, not a curated record